Molecule: ribosomal RNA, 492 nt
Filed under: uncultured bacterium
Lineage: Bacteria
Description: partial 16S ribosomal RNA
Rfam family: Bacterial small subunit ribosomal RNA
Source: RNAcentral
AGUGAACGCUGGCGGUAGGCCUAACACAUGCAAGUCGAACGGCAGCACAGUAAGAGCUUGCUCUUACGGGUGGCGAGUGGCGGACGGGUGAGGAAUACAUCGGAAUCUACUUUUUCGUGGGGGAUAACGUAGGGAAACUUACGCUAAUACCGCAUACGACCUACGGGUGAAAGCAGGGGAUCUUCGGACCUUGCGCGAUUGAAUGAGCCGAUGUCGGAUUAGCUAGUUGGCGGGGUAAAGGCCCACCAAGGCGACGAUCCGUAGCUGGUCUGAGAGAAUGAUCAGCCACACUGGAACUGAGACACGGUCCAGACUCCUACGGGAGGCAGCAGUGGGGAAUAUUGGACAAUGGGCGCAAGCCUGAUCCAGCCAUACCGCGUGUGUGAAGAAGGCCUUCGGGUUGUAAAGCCCUUUUGUUGGGAAAGAAAAGCAGCAGGUUAAUACCCCGCUGUUCUGACGGUACCCAAAGAAUAAGCACCGGCUAACUUCGUG